RNAcentral lists this ribosomal RNA (357 nucleotides) under uncultured Planococcus sp. FR061. RNAcentral describes it as "bacterial SSU rRNA". It matches the Rfam family "Bacterial small subunit ribosomal RNA", at positions 9 to 355 of the family's 1533-position model. The record is from RNAcentral. Lineage: Bacteria; Bacillati; Bacillota; Bacilli; Caryophanales; Caryophanaceae.
GAGUUUGAUCCUGGCUCAGGACGAACGCUGGCGGCGUGCCUAAUACAUGCAAGUCGAGCGGAACCAUUGGAGCUUGCUCCAUUUGGUUUAGCGGCGGACGGGUGAGUAACACGUGGGCAACCUGCCCUGCAGAUCGGGAUAACUCCGGGAAACCGGUGCUAAUACCGAAUAGUUUGCGGCCUCUCCUGAGGCUGCACGGAAAGACGGUUUCGGCUGUCACUGCAGGAUGGGCCCGCGGCGCAUUAGCUAGUUGGUGGGGUAAUGGCCCACCAAGGCGACGAUGCGUAGCCGACCUGAGAGGGUGAUCGGCCACACUGGGACUGAGACACGGCCCAGACUCCUACGGGACGCAGCAGA